UGGGGAAUUUUGGACAAUGGGCGCAAGCCUGAUCCAGCCAUGCCGCGUGUCUGAAGAAGGCCUUCGGGUUGUAAAGGACUUUUGUCAGGGAAGAAAAGGGCGGGGUUAAUACCCCUGUCUGAUGACGGUACCUGAAGAAUAAGCACCGGCUAACUACGUGCCAGCAGCCGCGGUAAUACGUAGGGUGCGAGCGUUAAUCGGAAUUACUGGGCGUAAAGCGAGCGCAGACGGUUACUUAAGCAGGAUGUGAAAUCCCCGGGCUCAACCUGGGAACUGCGUUCUGAACUGGGUGACUAGAGUGUGUCAGAGGGAGGUAGAAUUCCACGUGUAGCAGUGAAAUGCGUAGAGAUGUGGAGGAAUACCGAUGGCGAAGGCAGCCUCCUGGGAUAACACUGACGUUCAUGCCCGAAAGCGUGGGUAGCAAACA
This 427-nucleotide ribosomal RNA is filed under the name uncultured bacterium. Its description in RNAcentral is "partial 16S ribosomal RNA". It matches the Rfam family "Bacterial small subunit ribosomal RNA", at positions 355 to 774 of the family's 1533-position model. The record is from RNAcentral.